RNAcentral lists this small nucleolar RNA (93 nucleotides) under Colius striatus (speckled mousebird). RNAcentral's name for it is "Small nucleolar RNA SNORD35". It matches the Rfam family "Small nucleolar RNA SNORD35". Rfam says of the family: U35 is a C/D box snoRNA located in intron 6 of ribosomal protein L13A and intron 3 of ribosomal protein S11 in humans and at homologous positions in mouse and chicken ribosomal protein genes. U35 guides the methylation of 2'-O-ribose sites in 28S rRNA. Lineage: Eukaryota; Metazoa; Chordata; Aves; Coliiformes; Coliidae. The record is from Rfam by way of RNAcentral.
UGCAGAUGAUGCCUUUCUCUCACGAUGGUCUUCCAAGCCCCGUGGUGAAGGGGCUGUGAGGACAACGCCACACGGCUUUGCUGAUGCCCAGCC